This 1504-nucleotide ribosomal RNA is filed under the name Escherichia coli. RNAcentral's name for it is "bacterial LSU rRNA". It matches the Rfam family "Bacterial large subunit ribosomal RNA", at positions 1453 to 2925 of the family's 2925-position model. Lineage: Bacteria; Pseudomonadati; Pseudomonadota; Gammaproteobacteria; Enterobacterales; Enterobacteriaceae. The record is from RNAcentral.
ACUGCGAAGGGGGGACGGAGAAGGCUAUGUUGGCCGGGCGACGGUUGUCCCGGUUUAAGCGUGUAGGCUGGUUUUCCAGGCAAAUCCGGAAAAUCAAGGCUGAGGCGUGAUGACGAGGCACUACGGUGCUGAAGCAACAAAUGCCCUGCUUCCAGGAAAAGCCUCUAAGCAUCAGGUAACAUCAAAUCGUACCCCAAACCGACACAGGUGGUCAGGUAGAGAAUACCAAGGCGCUUGAGAGAACUCGGGUGAAGGAACUAGGCAAAAUGGUGCCGUAACUUCGGGAGAAGGCACGCUGAUAUGUAGGUGAAGUCCCUCGCGGAUGGAGCUGAAAUCAGUCGAAGAUACCAGCUGGCUGCAACUGUUUAUUAAAAACACAGCACUGUGCAAACACGAAAGUGGACGUAUACGGUGUGACGCCUGCCCGGUGCCGGAAGGUUAAUUGAUGGGGUUAGCGCAAGCGAAGCUCUUGAUCGAAGCCCCGGUAAACGGCGGCCGUAACUAUAACGGUCCUAAGGUAGCGAAAUUCCUUGUCGGGUAAGUUCCGACCUGCACGAAUGGCGUAAUGAUGGCCAGGCUGUCUCCACCCGAGACUCAGUGAAAUUGAACUCGCUGUGAAGAUGCAGUGUACCCGCGGCAAGACGGAAAGACCCCGUGAACCUUUACUAUAGCUUGACACUGAACAUUGAGCCUUGAUGUGUAGGAUAGGUGGGAGGCUUUGAAGUGUGGACGCCAGUCUGCAUGGAGCCGACCUUGAAAUACCACCCUUUAAUGUUUGAUGUUCUAACGUUGACCCGUGAUCCGGGUUGCGGACAGUGUCUGGUGGGUAGUUUGACUGGGGCGGUCUCCUCCUAAAGAGUAACGGAGGAGCACGAAGGUUGGCUAAUCCUGGUCGGACAUCAGGAGGUUAGUGCAAUGGCAUAAGCCAGCUUGACUGCGAGCGUGACGGCGCGAGCAGGUGCGAAAGCAGGUCAUAGUGAUCCGGUGGUUCUGAAUGGAAGGGCCAUCGCUCAACGGAUAAAAGGUACUCCGGGGAUAACAGGCUGAUACCGCCCAAGAGUUCAUAUCGACGGCGGUGUUUGGCACCUCGAUGUCGGCUCAUCACAUCCUGGGGCUGAAGUAGGUCCCAAGGGUAUGGCUGUUCGCCAUUUAAAGUGGUACGCGAGCUGGGUUUAGAACGUCGUGAGACAGUUCGGUCCCUAUCUGCCGUGGGCGCUGGAGAACUGAGGGGGGCUGCUCCUAGUACGAGAGGACCGGAGUGGACGCAUCACUGGUGUUCGGGUUGUCAUGCCAAUGGCACUGCCCGGUAGCUAAAUGCGGAAGAGAUAAGUGCUGAAAGCAUCUAAGCACGAAACUUGCCCCGAGAUGAGUUCUCCCUGACUCCUUGAGAGUCCUGAAGGAACGUUGAAGACGACGACGUUGAUAGGCCGGGUGUGUAAGCGCAGCGAUGCGUUGAGCUAACCGGUACUAAUGAACCGUGAGGCUUAACCUUACAACGCCGAAG